AUUGAACGCUGGCGGCAGGCUUAACACAUGCAAGUCGAGCGGAGAUGAGGUGCUUGCACCUUAUCUUAGCGGCGGACGGGUGAGUAAUGCUUAGGAAUCUGCCUAUUAGUGGGGGACAACAUUCCGAAAGGAAUGCUAAUACCGCAUACGUCCUACGGGAGAAAGCAGGGGAUCUUCGGACCUCGCGCUAAUAGAUGAGCCUAAGUCGGAUUAGCUAGUUGGUGGGGUAAAGGCCUGCCAAGGCGACGAUCUGUAGCGGGUCUGAGAGGAUGAUCCGCCACACUGGGACUGAGACACGGCCCAGACUCCUACGGGAGGCAGCAGUGGGGAAUAUUGGACAAUGGGGGAAACCCUGAUCCAGCCAUGCCGCGUGUGUGAAGAAGGCCUUAUGGUUGUAAAGCACUUUAAGCGAGGAGGAGGCUACUGAGACUAAUACUCUUGGAUAGUGGACGUUACUCGCAGAGUAAGCACCGGCUAACUCUGUGCCAGCAGCCGCCGUAA
This 501-nucleotide ribosomal RNA is filed under the name uncultured bacterium. RNAcentral's name for it is "partial 16S ribosomal RNA". It matches the Rfam family "Bacterial small subunit ribosomal RNA", at positions 30 to 523 of the family's 1533-position model. The record is from RNAcentral.